UACGGAGGGUGCAAGCGUUGUUCGGAUUUACUGGGCGUAAAGGGCGCGUAGGCGGUCUUAUAAGUCAGAUGUGAAAGCCCACGGCUCAACCGUGGAAGUGCAUCUGAAACUGUGAGACCUGAGUAUGGGAGAGGAAAGUGGAAUUCCCGGUGUAGAGGUGAAAUUCGUAGAUAUCGGGAGGAAUACCGGCGGCGAAGGCGACUUUCUGGACCAAUACUGACGCUGAGGCGCGAAAGCGUGGGUAGCAAACAGG
Molecule: ribosomal RNA, 253 nt
Filed under: uncultured bacterium
Lineage: Bacteria
Description: partial 16S ribosomal RNA
Rfam family: Bacterial small subunit ribosomal RNA
Source: RNAcentral